RNAcentral lists this ribosomal RNA (425 nucleotides) under uncultured bacterium. RNAcentral's name for it is "partial 16S ribosomal RNA". It matches the Rfam family "Bacterial small subunit ribosomal RNA", at positions 354 to 796 of the family's 1533-position model. The record is from RNAcentral.
GUGGGGAAUCUUAGACAAUGGGCGCAAGCCUGAUCUAGCCAUGCCGCGUGAGCGAUGAAGGCCUUAGGGUUGUAAAGCUCUUUCGUGGGGGAAGAUAAUGACUGUACCCCAAGAAGAAGCCCCGGCUAACUCCGUGCCAGCAGCCGCGGUAAUACGGCGGGGGCUAGCGUUGUUCGGAAUUACUGGGCGUAAAGCGCACGUAGGCGGACUGGAAAGUCAGGGGUGAAAUCCCGGGGCUCAACCACGGAACUGCCUUUGAAACUCCCAGUCUUGAGUUCGAGAGAGGUGAGUGGAAUUCCGAGUGUAGAGGUGAAAUUCGUAGAUAUUCGGAGGAACACCAGUGGCGAAGGCGGCUCACUGGCUCAUAACUGACGCUCAGACGCGAAAGCUAGGGUAGCAAACGGGAUUAGAUACCCCGGUAGUCC